AUUUAUAUAGUUUAUAAAAAACAUUAUAUUUUCAUUAUAGAAAAAAGAGAAUCUUCUUUAUAAAUG
RNAcentral lists this transfer RNA (66 nucleotides) under Palaeocimbex sp. CSCS-Hym-MC0161. RNAcentral describes it as "tRNA-Glu". Lineage: Eukaryota; Metazoa; Arthropoda; Insecta; Hymenoptera; Cimbicidae. The record is from RNAcentral.